RNAcentral lists this long non-coding RNA (312 nucleotides) under Volvox carteri. RNAcentral describes it as "long non-coding RNA (VCAR_LNC003952)". The record is from RNAcentral. Lineage: Eukaryota; Viridiplantae; Chlorophyta; Chlorophyceae; Chlamydomonadales; Volvocaceae.
AUGGCCGCAGUCGGGGGAUGGCAAAACGAGGGGGGAAAGAGGGAAAACGCGGCGGGGUGGAAUGGUUAGGAGGGUGUGUUUCAGGGCAUGACGGGGGGCCCCUGCAGCCUAGGCGACGCAUUCGCUUGAACGUCACCAUGGCCGCAGUCCGGGGAUGGCAAAAUGAGGGGGGAAAGGGGGAAAACACGGCGGGGCGGAAUGGUUAGGAAUGCGUGUUUAAGGGUAUGACGGGGGGCCCCCGCAACCUAGGCGACGCAUUCGCUUCAAUGUCACCAUGGCCGCAGUCUGGGGAUGGCAAAACAGCAUCCCAGG